Labeo rohita (rohu) is the source of this 79-nucleotide small nucleolar RNA. The record is from RefSeq and is a predicted model, not a curated record. NCBI's taxonomy places the organism in Eukaryota, Metazoa, Chordata, Actinopteri, Cypriniformes, Cyprinidae.
UUUGUCAGUGAUGUUUUUCCACAGUAUUAAUGAGUUUAACGACCAUGAGUCCACAUCAUGCACUUCCAGCUGAGACAAA